Physeter macrocephalus (sperm whale) is the source of this 5111-nucleotide long non-coding RNA. RefSeq lists it as uncharacterized. NCBI's taxonomy places the organism in Eukaryota, Metazoa, Chordata, Mammalia, Artiodactyla, Physeteridae. The transcript has 3 exons. The record is from RefSeq and is a predicted model, not a curated record.
CCUACCCUGAGUCAGGCGCUGGGCUGGACACUGGGAAUACACAAGACUGGAAGAAUAGAAGGCACCUCUGAUUCGUGGUCUAUCCGUGAGAGUGUAACAGAAUUAGGGAUAAAGGAUGAUUUUUCCCUCUGGAUGCGGAAGUUGGGGAAGGCUGAGGCAAGAAAUGGCUCAAUGGUGUGAGACUGGAGCUGGACCAGCCAGAGAAGAAACAGGAAAUGGCAUUAUCUGCAGCAUCCAAGCAUCUGGGGUGACCGGCAGCCAACCUCCCCGGCAGAAGCAGAGGAAGCAGCAUUGGGAAGGGGUGUGUCUGGAAGCUCUGUGAUCCUGUGCAGACAGACUGAGAAGUCCUGGUGAUUUCCACUGAAACCCUAAUAAAGGGAAGAGCCCAUUCCAGUGCACACAAGCACAGGGUACAGAGGAGUCUGGCCAGAGAAGAGCCUCUGGGACAAGGAAAAGCCAAAGCCAAGAAAGAAAAUAAACCAAGGCACAUGGAACCAGGCAGAAUGAUUCACCUGACUUCUCUCCACUGAAGGGGUUCCUGCAUUCACAGUAAGGAGAGACAAGUUAAUACCAGGCCCACGCUCUUCACAUACUUAAUAUUGUUCUUUUGUUUUAUUAGGACAUUUGUUUAAGCUAACUGUUUAGUAAAGUGUUUACAGCUUAUCCCAUAGUUUGGGUUCUUUCAUGAAUUGCUUUCAUUCGUUCAUUCAGCUGGUUAUUUAUGGAUUGCUACAGAAUUCCAUACCCUAUGCUCAGGAAUGGGAGUACAGAGCCUACAGCUUAGCAGGGGAGAUAGAAUGGUAAACAACAUUUACAAUGCAGACUCAAGUUCUACAUGGGUACUAAGUACCCGGCUAGGGAAGCACUGGAAUGCUUAGAAGGGUACAUUAUGAAGGGCCCUGAAGCCUGAUUAAGGAGCUUACACUUUAUUCUGGUUAAGAGAGCCGUUGAAAGACAUAUUAAUUAAAUGUUCCACCAAUGUAACAUUCUCACAUUGGGUGAACCCCAAAUACCUCAUCUAGAUUCUGGCACUCAGAAUGAACUACAUUAAAACCUCCCCCUUGAAAAAUCACUACCACCCAAAGAUUAUGCCUUUUGGGGAUAAGUUACAUUAUCCUCACCCAACAACAGUACGGAGCCAGGCAACGGCUACCUUGAGAUCCCUGAAACAGGUAAAACUUCACUCAGGUAGACUGAAACCCAGAAAAAUGAUCUUUUUUUAAAAAAACAAGAACCAUAUUCAGGCAAGCAAAGCCUUCAUUUACUCUAAGAUUCCCAAGAUUACCCAAAUCAUAAGAUUCCAGAGAUGCCCAAGGCCAGGGCUUUGAAAAAAAAAAAAAAUUGACUACUAAAAUUUUGAAGGCAAAAGGAAGGAAUUUGAGUCAUUUUGGUAGUAAAAAUAGAGAAUGCUGGAUGGAGGCCAGCCACCCAUUGUAAUAAUCAAGACAUUACUCUUUCAGUGUUUGAGGGAUCAUGUCAAAAUUCAUGUCAGAAAUGUUUGUUUUAUUUUCUAAAAUCCUAUGAAGGAGUCUUUCUCAACUACAGAGUUUCUACAAAGAAGGGGCUUAAGGCCAAUAACCUGCUUGUAAGAGAUUUGUCCUGAAGCUAUAUCUGUGUAGCUAGGACACUGUUUUUAUUCAGAUUGUAUGUUUAUUUGUAAUGGCUUGGAGAUUAAAUAAAGGCAGCUAGAAUACUCCUAAACUACCCUCUUGUGAUGUCACCACCACUCAAUAAAUGUGGUAUGUCCCACUGAGGGUAAUUAACCUGUGAGGCUAAUAAAUAUGACUGAUGGGGAAAUUAAGGCUGUUCCUGGAAGAACAUGUGACCAUACUGAAGUCAUUCUGUCCAUUGAUACCUUCUUUCCAUUCUAUGGGGAUAAUCUCUGCCUCUAGGAAUGAAAUGAAAGAAUAAAUGCCAUUAGCUGUGGGUGAGACAUUCAGUGUAAACUAAAUGUGAGGAGCACUGGAAGAAUUCACUUCAUCUCAUUCCACCCCCUAAGGUCUGCCUGGUGCUGAAAAUUCCCACAUUUUUUUAAACUUUUUUGAGUGAAGAUCUUAAAAGCUACUAUGAAAAUGCACAUUUUAUCUGGGAGGGGUGGCACAUUGAGUCAUUAGUAACAACAAUUACUCAAAUGACUUCAUCAAGUUAAACUCCCAACCAAUUACUGGGCAGUUUCCAGGGUAACAGUAAAGAUGCCUUUUGAUCCUGGGGAGAAGGCCAGAGGAUGUCUGUCUGAAAGACAGAUUCUGGGUGUGGGCCCAGGAAGACAUGAAAAAGAACCUUACUGCUUCCCCAUUUUGCUGGGACUGGCCCAGUCUCAUUGUUUGAGUGGUUUGGGCUGAGAUCAUGAGAAUAAUUCUGGCUAGAGCUAAUUGCUUUAUUGUAAACUUCAGGCCGUGUGAAGAGACUGGAUUAAGAAGUGCCUGGGUUACACAUUCACCAACUAUGUGAAUUUAUAUGUUUUACUUAAAGUCUUAGAGCCUCAGUUUUGCAUAAAAAGUGGGAAUAAUAAUAUAGGCCUCACAACUUCAGAGAGCUCCUGUGAAAAUCAAGUCAAUUAAUGAAUGUGAGAGUACUGUGCAAAUAAAAGAGGGUUAGUCAAAAGGCCAUGUUUGAUCCGGGAAUCACUUUCCUUGGUAUUUAACCCAAGUGAGUUGAAAACUUAUGUCCACCCAAAAACCUGUGCACAAAUUGGCAAUCAUGAAAUUGCCAAUACUUGGAAGCAACAAAGAUGUCCUUCAAUAGGUGAAUGGAUAAACAAAAUCUGGUACAUCCAUACAGUAGGAUAUUGUUCAGCAAUAAAAAGGAAUGAGCUAUCAAGCCAUGUAAAGGCAGGGAGGAACCUUAAAUGCAUAUUGCUAAGUGCAAGAAGUCAAUCUAAAAAGGGUACAUACUAUACGAUUCCAACUAUCUGACAUUCUGGAAAAGGUAAAACUCGGGAGACAGUAAAAAGACCAGUGGUUGCCAGGGGUUUAGAGGGAGGAAAGGAUGAAUAUGUGUAGUACACAGGAUUUUCAGGGCAGUGAAACUAUUUUGUAUGACACUGUAAUGCUGGAUACAUGUUAUUAUGCAUUUGUCAGAACCCACAGAAUGUACAACACAAAGAAUGAACCUUAAUGUAAACUACGAACUUCAGUUACUAAUAAUGUAUCAAAGGACCAUGUUACUCCUGAUUAAAACCCUUCAGUGGUACCCCAUUGCCCACCUAAGAAAGCCCAUGCUCUGCACAAGAGCAUCCAAAGCCCUCAAUCAUCUGGUCCCUUGCUCUACCCAUCCAGGAUUACUAGUUCCCUAAAUAAACUCUCAUGUUCAUCUGAUGUUUUUGCCUGCCUGACCAACAUCCACUUUUUCUUCUUCUGCUAACAUCACCCAUUUUCCUUCAGGAAACAGCACUCAAUCCAUCCUCAGUUUAUGUGGUUUGCUAGGAGCUGCACCACCACACUCAUAUUCUGCAUUGGACAUAUGUCCAAUCAGAGGUCAUCUAGACACUUUAACUGGAACCAUUAGGAAAACAAGCUAUCUUUUCAUGGGGCAUCUCAGAAACUAGAUUGAAACCUGAAUUUUUGUUGCCUUCUCUGCCAGGAUCUGGGAAGAUCCUGCCUAAAUGAAGCCAACAUAAAGAAUGAAUCCUGGAGAAAGCAAGAAUCCCAGGCAUAAUGGCAUCCAAUGAGUGCCUGGAUCCAGCUGCUUCUGAAGCUGGCCCUGCAUUUCCCACUCUUUUAGACUUUUCAAUUGUGCAAGCCAACAAAUAUGCUCUUUAUGUUUAAACCCAUUUGAAUUGGUCUUCUAUUAUCUUACAACCAUGAGUCACGCAAGGAGGAUGCUUUUCUGUGUCUCAUUCUGUUUCUUCUCCUCAUCACACCCUUGUGGUCUGAUAAACACCUUUUCACUCUUCAAGAUUAAGUUCUAGGGAAUUCCCUGGCAGUCCAGUGGUUAGGACUUGGUGCUUUCGCAGCCGUGGCCCAGGUUCAAUCCCUGGUCAGGGAACCUAGAUCCCACACGCCGCACCGUGUGGCCAGAAAAAAAAAAAAAAAAAAUUCAGUUCCAGCACCACCUCUCUAUGAAUCUUUCUAGACCAAUCCUCAUCUCCACUCUAGUUAGAAAAAGCUCCUCAGUCCCUGGAGCUUCCAUAGUACCCUGUGCUGACUUCCAGCAGAUAUGCUAUCUCUUAUUUACACUAAUCACACUUCAUUGUCUAUGUGACUGAAAGCUCCUCAGUCCUUCAAAGGGAGGUGUCAUAGUUUGGCAUCCCCAGCACUUUCUGAAUGCUUAUUGAAUGGAAAAGACAUUAUCAAAACAGGAGUUUGUGGGAAGAAGGGCAACAAAAAGGAGUGAAAAAGAACAAGCAGGAGAAAUUGUGUCCAAUCAUCUAGUUUAGAAGAGAAACUGAAUCUAAAUAAGAUGGAGGAGGGGUGAUAUACAGGGAAAUGUGAUUUACACCCCUAAUACUUUCAUUGCUCUAGUAGCAGUACCUACACUCUCUUUUUGCCCCAUUAUCACCCACACCUGGGAUCUUUUCAAGUUUACUUUUUGUAUUAAAAAGAGACAGCUUUUUAAUGUGGCAGAGAUAGCUAGUUCUCCUUCAAUAUCAGUUAUCCUCUUCUGCUAUAGAAAUAGAACCCCUGAUCUUUUGCUGGAUACAAGGAUGCCCAGAAUUAGAACUACAUACCCCAGACUCCCUAGCAGCUACGUGUGGCCCUAUGAUUAUUUUCUGGCCAAUGGAAUAUGAGCUGAAGUGGUGCAUGCAACUUCCUAAAGAGUAAACAGUUGCUUUCUUCCCCAUUUUUCCACUCCCACAAGCUGGAUGCAUGAGCCAUUCUGGACUCUGAGGAUGAGAAUAAGAUGAAAAGAGGAUGGGUCCCUAAAGCCACCAUAUCAGUCCUGGACCAUGAUACCAGAUACCAGAACCGUUACGUGAGAGAGAAAACAAACUUCUAACUUAUUUAAGCCUAUGAUUAGAGGGUCUCUAUUUCAACUGGCAAGCUUGUAUCGUUAUACAACUUCUUGGUCUCUCCUGUGUUUUUUUCCUUUUGCUUUGUUUGUUUGUUUUUUAAUAAAUUUAUUUAUAUAUUUAUUUUUGGCUGCGUUGGGUCUUCGUUGCUGCACGCAGG